RNAcentral lists this long non-coding RNA (215 nucleotides) under Manihot esculenta (cassava). Its description in RNAcentral is "long non-coding RNA (MESC_LNC009410)". Lineage: Eukaryota; Viridiplantae; Streptophyta; Magnoliopsida; Malpighiales; Euphorbiaceae. The record is from RNAcentral.
UUCCCUGCAGAUAAUGCUGGCAUCUCAGGUGUAAUAAAAUAAUAACAGCCUGAGAGCAAUGCUGGCAUCUUAGGCUCUAUGAUGACAAAUUUGGCCUAAGAGCUAAUAAAAUACUGGUCAUACACAUGUGCAGAGCUACCCCCAAAGGGUGACCACCUGACAUACGCCCCAAAGGCUGUCUGUAUAUCAAGCGCUGUCCCAAAGACAGUAUAAAU